CCUACGGGCGGCAGCAGUGGGGAAUAUUGCACAAUGGGGGAAACCCUGAUGCAGCAACGCCGCGUGAGUGAAGAAGUAUUUCGGUAUGUAAAGCUCUAUCAGCAGGGAGAAGAAUGACGGUACCUGACUAAUAAGCCCCGGCUAACUACGUGCCAGCAGCCGCGGUCAUACGUAGGGGGCGAGCGUUAUCCGGAUUUACUGGGUGUAAAGGGGGCGAAGACGGGCCUGAAAGAUCGAAGUGAAAGCCCGUGGCCUAACCGUGGCACGGCUUUGGAAACUGUGGAACUGGAGUGCUGGAGAGGCAAGCGGAAUUCCUAGUGUAGCAGUGAAAUGCGUAGAUAUUAGGAGGAACACCAGUGGCGUAGGCGGGUUGCUGGACAGUAACUGACGUUGAGGCUCGAAAGCGUAGGGAGCAAACAGGAUUAGAUACCCCUGUAGUC
Molecule: ribosomal RNA, 440 nt
Filed under: uncultured bacterium
Lineage: Bacteria
Description: partial 16S ribosomal RNA
Rfam family: Bacterial small subunit ribosomal RNA
Source: RNAcentral